Molecule: unclassified non-coding RNA, 310 nt
Filed under: plant metagenome
Description: partial contains 5.8S ribosomal RNA, internal transcribed spacer 2, and large subunit ribosomal RNA
Rfam family: 5.8S ribosomal RNA (bases 1-105)
Source: RNAcentral
GAAAUGCGAUACGUAGUGUGAAUUGCAGAAUUCCGUGAACCAUCGAAUCUUUGAACGCACAUUGCGCCCCUUGGUAUUCCAUGGGGCAUGCCUGUUCGAGCGUCAUUUGUACCCUCAAGCUCUGCUUGGUGUUGGGUGUUUGUCCCCGUCUCCGCGCGUGGACUCGCCCCAAAGUGAUUGGCAGCCGGCGUACUGGUCCCGGAGCGCAGCACAUGUCGCGCAAACGAGUGCCUUGGUACGGCGGCGUCCAUAAGCCCCUCUCUCACGCUCUUGACCUCGGAUCAGGUAGGGAUACCCGCUGAACUUAAGC